ACGGAGGGUGCAAGCGUUGUUCGGAUUGACUGGGCGUAAAGGGCGUGUAGGCGGUUCGUUAAGUCGGGUGUGAAAGCCCGGGGCUCAGCUCCGGAAGUGCGCCCGAAACUGGCGAGCUGGAGCGCGGUAGAGGAGGGUGGAAUUCCUGGUGUAGCGGUGAAAUGCGUAGAUAUCAGGAGGAACACCGGCGGCGAAGGCGGCCCUCUGGACCGUUGCUGACGCUGAGACGCGAAAGCGUGGGGAGCAAACAGG
This 252-nucleotide ribosomal RNA is filed under the name uncultured bacterium. Its description in RNAcentral is "partial 16S ribosomal RNA". It matches the Rfam family "Bacterial small subunit ribosomal RNA", at positions 525 to 776 of the family's 1533-position model. The record is from RNAcentral.